Molecule: long non-coding RNA, 135 nt
Organism: Neoarius graeffei (lesser salmon catfish)
Lineage: Eukaryota; Metazoa; Chordata; Actinopteri; Siluriformes; Ariidae
Exons: 3
Source: RefSeq, a predicted model, not a curated record
AUUUACCGUUGUCAGAAACCCCGCCAGGCCCCCUACAUCACAGUCAGCCACUAACCCAUGAUUCACCCCAGCCACGUCACCGCUUCCAUGCCACACCUCUGCCAUCCCAACAGGGGAACAAUGAGUUGCUGCGUG